Long non-coding RNA from Peromyscus californicus insignis, 1703 nucleotides. RefSeq lists it as uncharacterized. Lineage: Eukaryota; Metazoa; Chordata; Mammalia; Rodentia; Cricetidae. The record is from RefSeq and is a predicted model, not a curated record. The transcript is spliced from 4 exons.
UAUUGUGAGCCCUGCUGAGCGCACAAAACCUAGGAAGCCGAAAUGAUGCCACCCUAGAUUCUGUUUGGAAGGUGAAGAAAAUGAUGGGAAGUGUGGCUGUCCCGAGCCACACAGCCAGCCGUGGCCCAGGGACUCACACAGCCCCGUCCAAGCCUGCUUUAAUUUUCAAGCCAAGCUGCUUGGCUCUUGCAGUCCAUCUUCCCCAGGAUCUGGAGAGCUCGCUGCUUAGUAGUUCAAUACAAUGACUCUGCACCUUGAAAGCCCUUACUAAAAAUCAGGUCUUUUCCAGGUUAAGGGCAAGGGAGAUGACCACAGUGCCCAUAGGCACCACACAGGUAGUCCAGGAGCGGCCACCAAGGGCCUUUCGGACCUCAAAGCGCCGGCUCUCCACCACCCCGGCGGCAGCGCUGCUCUGCGGCACGCAGUGGGAGCUGCCAGGCCUCCCGGGCUGGGAUGGCACCCCUGCCUGAGCAGCUUCGGGGUCCCCUGGACCUGCUCCGCGGCUGGCUCAGGGAGCACAGCUGCCCUCGCCGGGCCACUUCUGGAACAAGUUGGAGAGGUCCGCGCGGGGGGACCCACCACCCGGGGCUGCAGCGCGCGCGGGGGUCCCCGGCUCGCAGCCGCCACGGACUCUGCGGCCGAAGUUGACCUCGCCGAGGAAAGAUGACACAGCAGUCCAGCCCCAGGCUCCUAGGAGCGGACAGCACCUCUGGAAGAUGCUGCUCACCACCAAACCAGGGCAGAGCCGUGAUGUAAAGCCAGGAAUGACCGUCCUCCUUCACCUGGCAGGGGACACAAAGCCCGUGGAGUCUGAAUCUCAACAGAGCAAAAGACCCCACAGAUCCUGUCCUGGCUGGUUCUACGCCAACCUGACACAAGCUAGAGUCAUCCAUCUGAGAGGAGGGGAACUCCAUUGAUCCAGCUGGAGGGUCACUGCUGAUGAAGAGUUACCACACCGCUUCAAGACUUUCCAAGUAUCUCUCUGGCUGUGAAUGAAAGAAUGCCUUGAAAGCUGGCCGUGGUGGCAGCAUACACCUUUAAACCCAGCACUUGGGAGGCGGAGGCAGGUGGAUCUCUGUGAGUUCGAGGCCAGCUUGGUCUACAGAGAGUGACGCUAAGUUCUCUGGGUCUGGAGCACGAGCGCUCAGAAGAAGGAACGUUGAAUUGCUGGGUGAGAGUAUUUUUGGUGCUAAGACCUGUGUCCGAGCCUCUGUCUUCAGGAUGCCCAAGAGCCUGGACUCAAAGAUGGAAGAGCAGUUGCCAUGAGAAGCAGAAAGGGCCCUGCAGAAGAUGGACCUGGGUCAUUCAGUCCCAUGCCUGCUGUUGCUGUUCUACUAGGCACAAGGCUAAGCCCAACCCAGAGUGCUGGGUCCCAAGGACUAAGUUGAACAGCAGGAGUCAUGAUACUGGAAUACUGGCCGGUAGGUCAUGUUAUAUAUAAGGUGUGUGUUGUUGGAGAACGUGGCCCUCUGAAUAAAACAGAUGUUGCCAUCAUCAGAUCAAGCAUACGGGCUCUCAGGCCAUCAGAAGCAGCCUGUGGACUGUCAACAUUCCCUCAGAGGAGGAGUCACUGGGCUCUCACCUGAGACUCCCUUCUAUAUGGCACUGCUGUCCCAAGGCAAAACUUGCCACUCAGGAAAUGUGCCCUGGUGCCCUAUAAGAGAAAAAUGGGGGAGACCCACUAAGCAGAAAGGAAGACAAGG